This 573-nucleotide ribosomal RNA is filed under the name Pseudochromis sp. MBS1104601. Its description in RNAcentral is "partial 16S ribosomal RNA". It matches the Rfam family "Bacterial large subunit ribosomal RNA", at positions 1816 to 2597 of the family's 2925-position model. The record is from RNAcentral. Lineage: Eukaryota; Metazoa; Chordata; Actinopteri; Pseudochromidae.
CGCCUCUUGCCCCCAAAGUAUAAGAGGUCCUGCCUGCCCAGUGACCACAGGUUUAACGGCCGCGGUAUUUUAACCGUGCUAAGGUAGCGCAAUCACUUGUUCCUUAAAUAGGGACCUGUAUGAAUGGCAAGACGAGGGCUAGACUGUCUCUUUUUUCCAGUCAAUGAAAUUGAUCUCCCCGUGCAGAAGCGGGGAUCCCCCCAUAAGACGAGAAGACCCUAUGGAGCUUUAGACGUAAGAGGCAGCCCUUGUAAAGUCCCUAAAAUAAAAGACCAAACUAACAGGACCCUGCCUCCAUGUCUUCGGUUGGGGCGACCGCGGGGACAAAAAUAACCCCCACGUGGACCGAGAAGACUAGCUUCUUAAACCUAAGAGCCACUGCUCAAACCCACAGAACUUCUGACCAAAAGAUCCGGCAAGACCGAUCAACGGACCGAGUUACCCUAGGGAUAACAGCGCAAUCCUCUCCUAGAGGCCAUAUCGACAAGAGGGUUUACGACCUCGAUGUUGGAUCAGGACAUCCUAAUGGUGCAGCCGCUAUUAAGGGUUCGUUUGUUCAACGAUUAAAGUCCU